This 329-nucleotide unclassified non-coding RNA is filed under the name soil metagenome. RNAcentral's name for it is "partial contains 5.8S ribosomal RNA, internal transcribed spacer 2, and large subunit ribosomal RNA". The stretch from base 1 to 120 matches the Rfam family "5.8S ribosomal RNA", at positions 35 to 154 of the family's 154-position model. The record is from RNAcentral.
GAUGAAGAACGCAGCGAAAUGCGAUAAGUAAUGUGAAUUGCAGAAUUCAGUGAAUCAUCGAAUCUUUGGACGCACAUUGCGCCCCCUGGUAUUCCGGGGGGCAUGCCUGUCCGAGCGUCAUUACAACCCUCAAGCUCAGCUUGGUAUUGGGCCCCGCCGCUCCGGCGGGCCCUAAAGUCAGUGGCGGUGCCGUCCGGCUCCGAGCGUAGUAAUUCUUCUCGCUCUGGAGGUCCGGUCGUGUGCUCGCCAGCAACCCCCAAUUUUUUUCAGGUUGACCUCGGAUCAGGUAGGGAUACCCGCUGAACUUAAGCAUAUCAAUAAGCGGAGGA